Long non-coding RNA from Hippopotamus amphibius kiboko, 323 nucleotides. RefSeq lists it as uncharacterized. NCBI's taxonomy places the organism in Eukaryota, Metazoa, Chordata, Mammalia, Artiodactyla, Hippopotamidae. The transcript is spliced from 3 exons. The record is from RefSeq and is a predicted model, not a curated record.
CUUCCCGCUGAGCCUCCGCCGGGUUUCGCGACCGAGGGUCUGGGGAGCUACGUGGAGAUCAAGGCCAAGAGCAGCUCCGCCAGAUCACCUUUCAGGUCACUCCUCAGAAACGGCUUUCUCAGCCAUCCAUCUAAAUGAGCACACAAAGAGGCUGUGGGGGGUUGUUCCUGGAAGAACUGAAAUCAGGUCUUUGCAGAUCCGCUGGUUCCUGAGUGAUUAUAUACAGUGCUGGCUGUCAGGAGACAGUCUCCUUGUUUAUUAGCAAUGACCAGCUUGGAUGACAGAUGGCAUCUGCUGGAUGGCAAGUGGGAGAGGGAAAUCGG